This 550-nucleotide ribosomal RNA is filed under the name Valsaceae sp. CMW 9945. Its description in RNAcentral is "eukaryotic LSU rRNA". It matches the Rfam family "Eukaryotic large subunit ribosomal RNA", at positions 56 to 629 of the family's 3401-position model. The record is from RNAcentral. Lineage: Eukaryota; Fungi; Ascomycota; Sordariomycetes; Diaporthales; Cytosporaceae. RNAcentral also lists the same sequence under 1 other name.
GAAAAGAAACCAACAGGGAUUGCCCUAGUAACGGCGAGUGAAGCGGCAACAGCUCAAAUUUGAAAUCUGGCUUCGGCCCGAGUUGUAAUUUGCAGAGGAUGUUUCUGGCGCGGUGCCUUCCGAGUUCCCUGGAACGGGACGCCACAGAGGGUGAGAGCCCCGUAUGGUUGGACACCAAGCCUGUGUGAAACUCCUUCGACGAGUCGAGUAGUUUGGGAAUGCUGCUCAAAAUGGGAGGUAAAUCUCUUCUAAAGCUAAAUACUGGCCAGAGACCGAUAGCGCACAAGUAGAGUGAUCGAAAGAUGAAAAGCACCUUGAAAAGGGGGUUAAACAGUACGUGAAAUUGUUGAAAGGGAAGCGCUUGUGACCAGACUUGCGCCGGGCGGUUCAUCCGGGGUUCUCCCCGGUGCACUCCGCCCGGUUCAGGCCAGCAUCGGUUUUCGUUGGGGGAUAAGAACGGCAGGAACGUGGCCCUCCUUCGGGUGGGUGUUAUAGCCUGUCGUACGAUACCCUGGCGGGGACCGAGGUUCGCGCUCCGCAAGGAUGCUGG